GGAGGGAUGGCCGAGUGGACUAAGGCGGCUGUCUUGAAAACAGCUGUGGGCUUCAUCGCCCACCGGGGGUUCGAAUCCCUCUCCCUCCGCCU
This 92-nucleotide transfer RNA is filed under the name Anaerolineaceae bacterium 4572_5.2. Its description in RNAcentral is "tRNA-Ser". It matches the Rfam family "tRNA". From Rfam's summary of the family: Transfer RNA (tRNA) molecules are approximately 80 nucleotides in length. Their secondary structure includes four short double-helical elements and three loops (D, anti-codon, and T loops). The record is from RNAcentral. Lineage: Bacteria; Bacillati; Chloroflexota; Anaerolineae; Anaerolineales; Anaerolineaceae.